This 468-nucleotide ribosomal RNA is filed under the name uncultured bacterium. Its description in RNAcentral is "partial 16S ribosomal RNA". It matches the Rfam family "Bacterial small subunit ribosomal RNA", at positions 28 to 507 of the family's 1533-position model. The record is from RNAcentral.
GACGAACGCUGGCGGCGUGCUUAACACAUGCAAGUCGAACGGAAAGGCCCGGCUUUCCUUGUGUGCUCGGGGGACGAACGUGUGAGUAACACGUGUGUAACCUGCCCGUUCCUCUCGGAUCUCUUCAGGAAACUGGGGCUACUACCGGUUAUUCGCUCCUGCUCCGUAGUGGGGGUUGUAUAGUUUGGGCGGAUGGGGAUGUACUCGCGGCUUAUCGGCGUGUUGGUGGGCUAGUGGCUUACCAAGUCUGUGACGGGUAGCCGGCCUGAGAGGGUGAACGGCCACAUGGGGACUGCGAGACGGCCCAGAAGCAGACGGGAGGAAGGAGUGGGGAACAUUGCACAAUGGGAGGGAGGCUGAGGGGGCAACGCCGGGUGCGGGAUGAUGGACUUCGGGUGGUAAACCGCUUUCGCCUGUGAUGAAGCGUGAGUGACGGUAAUGGGUAAAGAAGCACCGGCUAACUACGUG